UUUAAUGAGAGUUUGAUCCUGGCUCAGGACGAACGCUGGCGGCGUGCCUAAUACAUGCAAGUAGAACGCUGAGGUUUGGUGUUUACACUAGACUGAUGAGUUGCGAACGGGUGAGUAACGCGUAGGUAACCUGCCUCAUAGCGGGGGAUAACUAUUGGAAACGAUAGCUAAUACCGCAUAAGAGUAAUUAACACAUGUUAGUUAUUUAAAAGGAGCAAUUGCUUCACUGUGAGAUGGACCUGCGUUGUAUUAGCUAGUUGGUGAGGUAAAGGCUCACCAAGGCGACGAUACAUAGCC
RNAcentral lists this ribosomal RNA (297 nucleotides) under Streptococcus agalactiae. Its description in RNAcentral is "partial 16S ribosomal RNA". It matches the Rfam family "Bacterial small subunit ribosomal RNA", at positions 1 to 288 of the family's 1533-position model. The record is from RNAcentral. Lineage: Bacteria; Bacillati; Bacillota; Bacilli; Lactobacillales; Streptococcaceae.